GUGCGUAACGCGUAUACAAUCUGCCUUUCACUGGGGGAUAGCCCGAAGAAAUUUGGAUUAAUACCCCAUAGYAUAGUAGUGUGGCAUCACACAACUAUUAAAGCYUWGGUGGUGAAAGAUGAGUAUGCGUUCUAUUAGCUAGUUGGAGAGGUAACGGCUCCCCAAGGCGAUGAUAGAUAGGGGUUCUGAGAGGGAUGUCCCCCACACUGGUACUGAGAUACGGACCAGACUCCUACGGGAGGCAGCAGUGAGGAAUAUUGGACAAUGGUCGGAAGACUGAUCCAGCCAUGCCGCGUGCAGGAUGAAGGUCUUAUGGAUUGUAAACUGCU
This 329-nucleotide ribosomal RNA is filed under the name Capnocytophaga sp. W284. RNAcentral describes it as "bacterial SSU rRNA". It matches the Rfam family "Bacterial small subunit ribosomal RNA", at positions 106 to 434 of the family's 1533-position model. Lineage: Bacteria; Pseudomonadati; Bacteroidota; Flavobacteriia; Flavobacteriales; Flavobacteriaceae. The record is from RNAcentral.